GACGAACGCUGGCGGCGUGCUUAAUACAUGCAAGUAGAACGCAGUUGCGAACGGGUGAGUAACGCGUAGGUAACUGCCCCACACCCGGGGAUAACUAUUGGAUACGAUAGCUAAUACCGCAUACUGUGGGAUGGACCUGCGUGGUAUUAGCUAGUUGGUGAGGUAAAGGCUCACCAAGGCGACGAUACAUAGCCGACCUGAGAGGACGAGCGGCUACACUGGGACUGAGGUACCGGCCAUACUGCGAAGAGAGGUAGCAGUAGGGGAUCUUCGGGAAUGGACGGAAGUCGGACCGAGCAACGGCGGGGGAGUGAAGAGGGUUAUCGGAUCGUAAAGCUUUGUAGUUAGAGAAGGGGUAACUAACCAAAAAGGGACGGCUAACUACGUGCCAGCAGCCGCGGUAAUUC
Molecule: ribosomal RNA, 407 nt
Filed under: uncultured bacterium
Lineage: Bacteria
Description: partial 16S ribosomal RNA
Rfam family: Bacterial small subunit ribosomal RNA
Source: RNAcentral